RNAcentral lists this ribosomal RNA (1453 nucleotides) under Mycobacteroides abscessus subsp. abscessus. RNAcentral describes it as "bacterial LSU rRNA". It matches the Rfam family "Bacterial large subunit ribosomal RNA", at positions 1489 to 2925 of the family's 2925-position model. Lineage: Bacteria; Bacillati; Actinomycetota; Actinomycetes; Mycobacteriales; Mycobacteriaceae. The record is from RNAcentral.
UACCGGUUAGUGGUUAUACCGGAGCAAGCCCGUAGGACGACAUCUAGGCAAAUCCGGAUGUCAUACGUCUGAGAGGUGACGCAUAGCCGAUUGAGGCGAAUUCAGUGAUCCUAUGCUGCCAAGAAAAGCCUCUAGUGAGUUCACACACGGCCCGUACCCCAAACCAACACAGGUGGUCAGGUAGAGAAUACUAAGGCGUACGAGAUAACUAUGGUUAAGGAACUCGGCAAAAUACCCCCGUAACUUCGGGAGAAGGGGGACCUCGCUUGGUGACCGGACUUGCUCCGUGAGCUGAACGAGGUCGCAGAGACCAGUGAGAAGCGACUGUUUACUAAAAACACAGGUCCGUGCGAAGUCGCAAGACGAUGUAUACGGACUGACGCCUGCCCGGUGCUGGAAGGUUAAGAGGACCCGUUAACCCUUGGGUGAAGCGGAGAAUUUAAGCCCCAGUAAACGGCGGUGGUAACUAUAACCAUCCUAAGGUAGCGAAAUUCCUUGUCGGGUAAGUUCCGACCUGCACGAAUGGCGUAACGACUUCUCAACUGUCUCAACCAUAGACUCGGCGAAAUUGCACUACGAGUAAAGAUGCUCGUUACGCGCGGCAGGACGAAAAGACCCCGGGACCUUCACUAUAGCUUGGUAUUGGCGUUUGGUUCGGUUUGUGUAGGAUAGGUGGGAGACUGUGAAGCAGGCACGCCAGUGUUUGUGGAGUCAUCGUUGAAAUACCACUCUGAUCGUAUUGAACCUCUAACCUCGGACCGUAUAUCCGGUCCAGGGACAGUGCCUGGUGGGUAGUUUAACUGGGGCGGUUGCCUCCCAAAAUGUAACGGAGGCGCCCAAAGGUUCCCUCAACCUGGACGGCAAUCAGGUGUUGAGUGCAAGUGCACAAGGGAGCUUGACUGCGAGACCUACAAGUCAAGCAGGGACGAAAGUCGGGACUAGUGAUCCGGCACCUCUGAGUGGAAGGGGUGUCGCUCAACGGAUAAAAGGUACCCCGGGGAUAACAGGCUGAUCUUCCCCAAGAGUCCAUAUCGACGGGAUGGUUUGGCACCUCGAUGUCGGCUCGUCGCAUCCUGGGGCUGGAGCAGGUCCCAAGGGUUGGGCUGUUCGCCCAUUAAAGCGGCACGCGAGCUGGGUUUAGAACGUCGUGAGACAGUUCGGUCUCUAUCCGCCGCGCGCGUCAGAAACUUGAGGAAACCUGUCCCUAGUACGAGAGGACCGGGACGGACGAACCUCUGGUGUACCAGUUGUUCCACCAGGAGCACGGCUGGAUAGCUACGUUCGGACAGGAUAACCGCUGAAAGCAUCUAAGCGGGAAACCUAUUCCAAGACCAGGUUUCUCACCCUUUUAGAGGGAUAAGGUCACCCACAGACUAUGGGUUCAAUAGGCCAGACCUGCAAGCGUAGUAAUACGUUCAGGGAACUGGCACUAAUCGACCGAAAACUUACUAAU